GAAACUAACAAGGAUUCCCCUAGUAGCUGCGAGCGAACAGGGACGAGCCCAGCACUGAAUCCCGAAGGCCUCGCCUUUAGGGAGAUGUAGUGUUUAGGAGUGCCCGAUUAAACCCGGGGACAUGCACCGCGUUCAAGUCCAUCUUGAACGGGGCCACGGUCCGCAGAGGGUGCCAGGCCCGUAGAUGACCGGUGCCGGCCCCGGGUGGGAGCCGCCAAAGAGCCGGGCCGCUUGAGAGUGCAGCCCUAAGCGGGGGGAAAACCCCACCCAAGGCUAAAUGCAACCACGGGACCGAUAGAGAACAA
This 305-nucleotide ribosomal RNA is filed under the name Arvelius porrectispinus. Its description in RNAcentral is "partial large subunit ribosomal RNA". It matches the Rfam family "Eukaryotic large subunit ribosomal RNA", at positions 61 to 347 of the family's 3401-position model. The record is from RNAcentral. Lineage: Eukaryota; Metazoa; Arthropoda; Insecta; Hemiptera; Pentatomidae.